UGCCAGCAGCCGCGGUAAUACGGAGGGGGCAAUCGUUAUUCGGAUUUACUGGGCGUAAAGCGCACGUAGGCGGCAGUGUAAGUCACAGGUGAAAUCCCUCGGCUCAACCGAGGAACUGCCUGCGAAACUGCGCUGCUUGAGUCCGGGAGGGGGGAGCGGAAUUCCCAGUGUAGCGGUGAAAUGCGUAGAUACUGGGAGGAACACCGGGGGCGAAGGCGGCGCCAUGGACCGGUAAUGAAGCGGAGGUGAGAACGCUUGGGUCGCAAACAGGAGUAGAUA
Molecule: ribosomal RNA, 279 nt
Filed under: uncultured bacterium
Lineage: Bacteria
Description: partial 16S ribosomal RNA
Rfam family: Bacterial small subunit ribosomal RNA
Source: RNAcentral